Molecule: long non-coding RNA, 896 nt
Filed under: Chinchilla lanigera (long-tailed chinchilla)
Lineage: Eukaryota; Metazoa; Chordata; Mammalia; Rodentia; Chinchillidae
Description: lncRNA (ENSCLAG00000026143.1)
Source: RNAcentral
CACUGUCAUCACCAUCAUCACAAUUAUCAUCACCAUCAUUCUCAUCAUCACUGACAGCAUCACUAUUGUCACCAUAGUCACCAUCACCAUUGACAUCAUCACCACCAUCAUCACCACAGUCAGUGCCGUGAUCACCAUCAUCCUCCCCAUCCUCACUAUCAUCAAUGCCAUCAUCACCACCAUGGCAAUGGCAGCAGGACACAGAGCACAUUUAUAAACUGACUUCUAUCUUUUAAAUACAUCAUUAAUCCUCCAAACAAACCUACAAAGUCCACCAAAAUUGUUUUCAUGUAGGAAAAAUACGGGCUUAGAUCAAUCAGGGUAUGUAGGAAGCUUGUGCAGCUCCUCCCAUUAGAAGGGAAUAAAUCAACUCUUUCACCCACGUGUUUUUUGAUGCUGCAGUUCUUUUUCCCCCUAAGCACACCAUCUCGGGUUCACAUGCCUGGAAACACCUGGGGCCUCGACCCUGAUCAAAGACGACCUUCGAGGAAGACAAGCACUGGGGCUAGAGCUGCCAUCUUGGACCAUGGAGCCAUCUGACAGAAGGAUGCUGGCCUAGGAUCAUGCAGGGCCAUACAUGGCAAGAGUGUUCCAGUGAUUAGUUUGAGCUCCAACACUUUUGGUGCCAUCCAGUCUACCUGAGAACACCUGAAUAAAAUCUACUUUCUCAUCUAUGCAAAGACCCAAGGGAUGCAGCAAAGCCAUGUGAAAUCUCCAAACGUUGGAAAAGAUCAGUGUUAAGACCAGAGAAUCACUUGCAGGCUGCUGUGUACACCCGGACGGACACACAGAGAUGAAACCACCGCACAAGAACACCUGCAUUUUUUAGUCAAAGCAACUUUCAUUCAAAGAAAUACAAAUUAAUUUAACAUGAAUAAAAUAUCACUCAAAUGGUA